RNAcentral lists this unclassified non-coding RNA (575 nucleotides) under Hevea brasiliensis (rubber tree). Lineage: Eukaryota; Viridiplantae; Streptophyta; Magnoliopsida; Malpighiales; Euphorbiaceae. The record is from RNAcentral.
UGAAGAUCCUGACCAGUCUGAAGAUUCUCUGGUUGAUUUGCUUCAAAGUUUAGCAGAUAUGGAUAUAACCUUCAAGGCACUCAAGGAGACUGAUAUUGGAAGACAUGUCAAUCGUUUGCGAAAGCAUUCAUCCAAUGAUGUUCGAAGAUUAGUUAAACAACUUGUCAGGAAAUGGAAGGAAAUUGUAGAUGAAUGGGUGAGGUUAAAUCCACAAGGAGAGCAUGCAUCCUCUGCUCUAAUGGCUGAUGGGGACUCCCCACAGCAGAAAAUUCCCCAGAACUCUCUUCACCAGGUUCCUGAUUUUGCAUACUCUCCCAAUCCUCAUAAUGGAAGUUCUGGUUCAGACAAGAAUAAUUCAGAAUCAGAACGAAAGCCAAAACUGGUUCCUCGAAAAGAAGCUCCACCCAGACCUACCCAACAAUCUGUUCCUGUAUCUGCAUCUGCUUCUCACAAUGUACAGAGACAGAGAGAGCAGCAACAAAGAGAGAGAGAUUUUGAUUCUGAGAGGCUUGCUUCCGCGAGGAAGAGGCUUCAAGAGAAUUACAAAGAAGCCUUAAAUGCCAAGAAGCAAAGAA